This 27-nucleotide non-coding RNA is filed under the name Mus musculus (house mouse). The record is from RNAcentral. Lineage: Eukaryota; Metazoa; Chordata; Mammalia; Rodentia; Muridae.
UGGAAAUUCCACCUACAACCUCAAUCC